UAGGGAAUCUUCCGCAAUGGACGCAAGUCUGACGGAGCAACGCCGCGUGAGUGAAGAAGGAUUUCGGUUCGUAAAACUCUGUUGUUAGAGAAGAACAGCGCAUAGAGUAACUGUUAUGCGUGUGACGGUAUCUAACCAGAAAGCCACGGCUAACUACGUGCCAGCAGCCGCGGUAAUACGUAGGUGGCAAGCGUUAUCCGGAAUUAUUGGGCGUAAAGCGCGCGUAGGCGGUUUUUUAAGUCUGAUGUGAAAGCCCACGGCUCAACCGUGGAGGGUCAUUGGAAACUGGAAAACUUGAGUGCAGAAGAGGAAAGUGGAAUUCCAUGUGUAGCGGUGAAAUGCGCAGAGAUAUGGAGGAACACCAGUGGCGAAGGUGACUUUCUGGUCUGUAACUGACGCUGAUGUGCGAAAGCGUGGGGAUCAAACAGG
This 429-nucleotide ribosomal RNA is filed under the name Bacteroidota bacterium. Its description in RNAcentral is "Bacteroidetes bacterium partial 16S ribosomal RNA". It matches the Rfam family "Bacterial small subunit ribosomal RNA", at positions 355 to 776 of the family's 1533-position model. The record is from RNAcentral. Lineage: Bacteria; Pseudomonadati; Bacteroidota.